Molecule: ribosomal RNA, 111 nt
Filed under: Caerostris darwini
Lineage: Eukaryota; Metazoa; Arthropoda; Arachnida; Araneae; Araneidae
Source: RNAcentral
ACGGCAGUACCAUGCUGAAUAUACCGGUUCUCGUUAGAUCACCGAAGUUAAGCAUCAUUGGGCGCGGUCAGUUCUUGGGUGGGUGACCACCUGGGAACACUGCGUGCCGUU